RNAcentral lists this long non-coding RNA (1631 nucleotides) under Homo sapiens (human). RNAcentral describes it as "HSALNT0251698". Lineage: Eukaryota; Metazoa; Chordata; Mammalia; Primates; Hominidae. The record is from RNAcentral.
GUGAAAGUCCUUUUCCUGGCUCAUCCUGGCUCAAAAAGCACCCCCACUGAGCACCUUGCGACCCCCACUCCUGCCCACCAGAGAACAAACCCCCUUUGACUGUAAUUUUCCUUUACCUGCCCAAAUCUUAUAAAACAGCCCCACCCCUAUCUCCCUUCGCUGACUGUCUUUUUGGACUCAGCCCGCCUGCACCCAGGUGAAAUAAACAGCCAUGUUGCUCACACAAAGCCUGUUUGGUGGUCUCUUCACACGGACGCUCAUGAAAUUUGGUGAUGUGACUCGGAUAGGGGGACCUCCCUUGGGAGAUCAGUACCCUGUCCUCCUGCUCUUUGCUCCGUGAGAAAGAUCCACCUACAACCUCAGGUCCUUAGACCAACCAGCCCAAGAAACAUCUCACCAAUUUCAAAUCCAGACCCCACUGGAAAUCGGACUGUCCAACUCACCUGACAGCCACUCCCACAGCCGCUGGAACUCUGGCCCAAGGCUCUCUGACUCCUUCCCAGAUCUUCUUGGCUUAGCGGCUGAAGACUGACGCUGCCCGAUCGCCUCGGAAGCCCCCUAGACCAUCACGGACGCCGAGCUUCGGGUAACUCUCACAGUGGAAGGUAAGUCCGUCCUCUUCUUAAUCAAUAUGGAGGCUACCCACUCCACAUUACCUUCUUUUCAAGGGCCUGUUUCCCUUGCCUCCAUAACUGUUGUGGGUAUUGACAGCCAGGUUGCUAAACCUCUUAAAACUCCCCAACUCUCGUGCCAACUUAGACAAUACUCUUUUAAGCACUCCUUUUAGUUAUCCCCACCUGCCCAGUUCCCUUAUUAGGCCGAGACACUUUAACUAAAUUAUCUGCUUCCCUGACUAUUCCUGGAUUAUAGCUACAUCUCAUUGCUGCCUUCCUUCCCAAUCCAAAGCCUCCUUUGUGUCCUCCUCUUGUAUUCCCCCACCUUAACCCACAAGUAUAAGAUACCUCUACUCCCUCCUUGGUGACCAAUCAUGCACCCCUUACCAUCUCAUUAAAACCUAAUCACCCUUACCCUGCUCAACGCCAAUAUCCCAUCCCACAGCAUGCUUUGAAAGGAUUAAAGCCUGUUAUCACUCGCCUGCUACAGCAUGGUCUUUUAUAGCCUAUAAACUCUCCUUAUCAUUCCCCCAUUUUACCUGUCCUAAAACCAGACAAGCCUUACAAGUUAGUUCAGGAUCUAUGCUUUAUCAACCAAAUUGUUUUGCCUAUCCACCCCAUGGUGCCAAACCCAUAUACUCUCCUAUACUCAAUACCUCCCUCCACAACCCAUUAUUCUGUUCUGGAUCUCAAACAUGCUUUCUUUACUAUUCCUUUGCACCCAUCAUCCCAGCCUCUCCUCGCUUUCACUUGGACUGACCCUGACACCCAUCAGGCUCAGCAAAUUACCUGGGCUGUACUGCCGCAAAGCUUCACAGGCAGCCCCCAUUACUUCAGUCAAGCCUAAAUUUCUUCCUUAACUGUUACCUAUCUCAGCAUAAUUCUCAUAAAAACACACGUGCUCUCCCUGCUGAUCGAGUCCAAUUAAUCUCCCAAACCUCAAUCCCUUACAAAACCACUCCUUUCCUUCCUAGGCAUGGUUAGUGCAGUCAGAAUUCUUACACAAGAGCCAGGACC